GAGUUUGAUCCUGGCUCAGAACGAACGCUGGCGGCGUGCUUAACACAUGCAAGUCAGGGAGAAAGUCUCUUCGGGGAUGAUUAAACCGGCGCACGGGUGAGUAACACGUGAGUGACCUGCCUUUUAGACUGGAACAACUUACCGAAAGGUGAGCUAAUGCCGGAUGAGUUAUAUAAGUGCAUGUUUAUAUAGGAAAAGUUGGGGAGACCUGACGCUGAAAGAUGGUCUCGCGUCCCAUUAGCUAGUUGGUAGGGUAAUGGCCUACCAAGGCGACGAUGGGUAGCCGGCCUGAGAGGGUGGCCGGCCACACUGGGACUGAGACACGGCCCAGACUCCUACGGGAGGCAGCAGUGGGGAAUUUUGCGCAAUGCUUGUAAGAGUGACGCAGCGACGCCGCGUGAAUGACGAAGGCCUUCGGGUCGUAAAGUUCUUUCGACAGGGAAGAAAAUGCCUAUAAGUAACUGUGUAUGUAUUGACGGUACCUGUAUAAGCAGCCCCGGCUAACUCCGUGCCAGCAGCCGCGGUAAUACGGAGGGGGCGAGCGUUGUUCGGAGUGACUGGGCGUAAAGAGCACGUAGGCGGUGUUGUAAGUCAUUAGUCAAAGACUAGAGCUCAACUUUAGUAAGGCUAGUGAUACUAUAAUACUAGAGUAUCAGAGAGGAUUGCAGAAUUCCUGGUGUAGCGGUGAAAUGCGUAGAUAUCAGGAGGAAUACCGUUAGCGAAGGCGGCAAUCUGGCU
This 738-nucleotide ribosomal RNA is filed under the name uncultured bacterium. RNAcentral describes it as "bacterial SSU rRNA". It matches the Rfam family "Bacterial small subunit ribosomal RNA", at positions 9 to 734 of the family's 1533-position model. The record is from RNAcentral.